AAAAAAUUAUACAAGGAGGGGGACAUAUACCUUACCUCCAACCUAAGGUGGGACAAGAGUCAACCUACCUACUAAGGUUAGUCAACUCCACCCUAUACAAUAAGAUGUAAUAUUAAAACUAAGCACCUAGAGAGGAUCCUUUCUUAAUACAAAGUUACUAAUAAAACAUAAAUAAGGGAGACUCUCCCCUUACAAGAAUUAAUGAAACUAAGACUAAACAAACUACUAUACCUAGAAAGGCCAUAGUAAAUCGAAUAGGUUAUAACAUGUCAAAAUGUAAUGUUGUUGUCCUUGAAAUGUUGGACAUUAUAUAGAGAGUCUUGAAACUGAAGGCCUUCUCUGUAAGGAUUUUGAAGUAUGUUCAAGGUGGUUGUUUAAUCCUUUUAAUCUUCUUGCGUCUGAAGUUUUGAACUCCCAAUUUCUCUAAUAGAUAGCUUCCUUUAACUGGUAGAGGUAAUUGAUGAUGAGUGUAGUAAUUUUGUACAAUGUCUUGUUGAUGACUAUGUUUGGCCAGUAGAUCAGCAGUACCAUUCGCCUCCCUGUAAGUGUGCACACACUGAAAAUACACACAUUGGUUAGCAAGAAUUUGUAAUUCCUGUAUAUACCUGUGUAUCUUCCAAGGGGGAAUAGCAGCCUGCAAGAACCACUUGGUUAAUAAUUCAGAAUCAACCUCUAAUAUAAUAUUAGUGUAACCAUGUUGGAUACACCAAUUUAAA
RNAcentral lists this long non-coding RNA (716 nucleotides) under Solanum tuberosum (potato). RNAcentral describes it as "long non-coding RNA (STUB_LNC009885)". Lineage: Eukaryota; Viridiplantae; Streptophyta; Magnoliopsida; Solanales; Solanaceae. The record is from RNAcentral.